RNAcentral lists this long non-coding RNA (727 nucleotides) under Ananas comosus (pineapple). Its description in RNAcentral is "long non-coding RNA (ACOM_LNC037906)". Lineage: Eukaryota; Viridiplantae; Streptophyta; Magnoliopsida; Poales; Bromeliaceae. The record is from RNAcentral.
AACACAAGAAAGUUCAGAAAAGUUGUUUAAAAACAAUCUAAGCCUUCUGAACUUAUUUUAAUUAUGUAUCUUCACCACAAAUGAUCUUUUCUUCAUACCUUAGGUGUCGAUCUUUCCGAAUGAGUCUUUGUCCUCCAAUUUGAAUCUUUUCUCAAAAACUUCUGCGAUCAACUCUUCAAGACUCCAAACAACUUUACGAAAUUCGCCAACCUAUAAAAUCCUUAACAAUCUCCCCCUUUGGCGAUUUCGUGACAAAAUAUAACACAAAAUUCGUAUACAACCAAUAAGUCAUAAAAAGAAGAUCAUCGCAAUCACCAAACGAUAAUCUCCUGCAUGAUCAAUCCAAUAAACGAAAUUUACACUUUUACACCCUUAAUACAAACUCUAUGACUUAGACAUGGAGUCUUGAAGUCUUGAAUUAUUCCUGCAAAAACAUUCUCAAAGCAUAAUCAAGAUUCAAGUAUCAAGAAGUAUCAAGAAGAUCAAACAAUCAACUAAAGUUCACACUUCAUAGUUCAUAGUUAAACUAAACGAAAACACUAAGUCAAACACCUAAAGCAUUAAAACAAAGUCAAACACCUAAAGCAUUAAAACAAAGUCAUCUUAACUAAGCAAAGCCCUAAGCUAAAUGCAUCAUCAUCAUCAUUAAGACCAUCCCAUCAUCUCCCCCUUUUUGUCAGAAAACGCCAAAACGACAAAAGGAGAAGCUCGGUAAAUCCUAGUCAGA